GGAUCAAUGAUCCCCCACAAUCCCAGUACGACACGAGCGUCAAUUCCGGAAGGAAGAGCACCGUGGAUACAAACACCGUGAACGCAUCGGGAACUUAUGAAAAUCUCUCAAGGGAUGAACAGGGCGCAAGGAACGAUGUAGAAGAUGGAAACUCCACUUACACGGGACUUGUCCUGGAGGACCGAUCUGUUUACAGUGAUCUGAAGAGAUGACGUCACUGGUGAAGAGAAGAGGAUGGUUGGCCCGUGAAUUGACAGAGAAGAAGGACAACCAUCGAGGGAAAAGCCACCGUUCAGAAUGUCCUUCAUUGUUUCUUCAUGGUUGUUCUCCAUGUCUCCGUUAGAUCUUUUCUGCGUUUCACAUCCUCACGACGAAGUCAUCACUGAAGGUUUUGACUCGUUUGUAUCACAGCAGCUUAGUUCCCUCACCUCAGCCCAGACUCCUUUGUCCCAUAAUUGACACCUUCACUCUGCCGCCGACAUUUGUCCUCUCAACGUUACACUGUGAUAUAAUCUAUAUACCGUUUUGACCCACG
Molecule: long non-coding RNA, 535 nt
Organism: Hypanus sabinus (Atlantic stingray)
Lineage: Eukaryota; Metazoa; Chordata; Chondrichthyes; Myliobatiformes; Dasyatidae
Exons: 5
Source: RefSeq, a predicted model, not a curated record